GAGUUUGAUCGUGGCUCAGAAUCAACGCUGGCGGCGUGCCUAACACAUGCAAGUCGAACGCGGUUAGUAGCAAUACUAACUGAGUGGCGAACGGGUGAGUAACACGUGGGUGACCUACCUUCGAGUGGGGGAUAACGUCCCGAAAGGGGCGCUAAUACCGCAUGACAUCCUGCCUUUGAACAGGUGGAGAUCAAAGCUGGGGAUCGCAAGACCCGGCGCUUGAUGAGGGGCCCGCGUCCGAUUAGCUAGUUGGUGAGGUAAUGGCUCACCAAGGCGACGAUCGGUAUCCGGCCUGAGAGGGCGGACGGACACACUGGGACUGAGACACGGCCCAGACUCCUACGGGAGGCAGCAGUGGGGAAUUGUUCACAAUGGGCGCAAGCCUGAUGACGCAACGCCGCGUGGAGGAUGAAGGUCUUCGGAUUGUAAACUCCUGUUGCCAGGGACGAACGGCUCCGACCUAAUACGUCGGAGAAUGACGGUACCUGGUGAGGAAGCCCC
This 501-nucleotide ribosomal RNA is filed under the name uncultured Acidobacteriota bacterium. RNAcentral's name for it is "bacterial SSU rRNA". It matches the Rfam family "Bacterial small subunit ribosomal RNA", at positions 9 to 494 of the family's 1533-position model. The record is from RNAcentral. Lineage: Bacteria; Pseudomonadati; Acidobacteriota.